RNAcentral lists this microRNA (22 nucleotides) under Drosophila melanogaster (fruit fly). RNAcentral's name for it is "dme-miR-33-3p". Its record names the gene dme-miR-33-3p. The record is from miRBase by way of RNAcentral. RNAcentral also lists the same sequence under 2 other names. Lineage: Eukaryota; Metazoa; Arthropoda; Insecta; Diptera; Drosophilidae.
CAAUACAACUUCAGUGCAAGCU